Molecule: long non-coding RNA, 333 nt
Organism: Cololabis saira (Pacific saury)
Lineage: Eukaryota; Metazoa; Chordata; Actinopteri; Beloniformes; Belonidae
Exons: 3
Source: RefSeq, a predicted model, not a curated record
UAAAACAACACGGAAUCGUCCUACAGCUGUUUAAGAAGAAAACUGUGAAAACGAUUGUCAACAUCCCCAAGAAGGCCCUCAUCCUUAUUGAUUCCUUUGGGAAAGAGGACUAUUAUUCAAGAAAAGUUCUCCACAGCUGGAGGAACUACCUUAAAAGGAUGGAGAGAAGGGGCUGAGGCAUGGCAGGUGGAGACUGUACACCACAAUAAACAGCAGGAUGCCAGUAGCUGCAGAGUUUUGGUUAUGAAGGUAUUAAAUCAUCAUUUGGAUAGCUGACUAGAUAGAUUAUUACCAAAUUAAUGUCCUCUUCUUCCAACUUGGUGACUAUGUGAA